UGGGGAAUAUUGGACAAUGGGCGAAAGCCUGAUCCAGCCAUGCCGCGUGUGUGAAGAAGGUCUUCGGAUUGUAAAGCACUUUAAGUUGGGAGGAAGGGCAGUAAGCGAAUACCUUGCUGUUUUGACGUUACCGACAGAAUAAGCACCGGCUAACUCUGUGCCAGCAGCCGCGGUAAUACAGAGGGUGCAAGCGUUAAUCGGAAUUACUGGGUGUAAAGCGCGCGUAGGUGGUUCGUUAAGUUGAAAGUGAAAGCCCCGGGCUCAACCUGGGAAAUGCAUCCAAAACUGGCGAGCUAGAGUAGGGCAGAGGGUGGUGGAAUUUCCUGUGUAUCGGUGAAAUGCGUAGAUAUAGGAAGGAACACCAGUGGCGAAGGCGACCACCUGGGCUCAUACUGACACUGAGGUGCGAAAGCGUGGGGAGCAAACAGG
Molecule: ribosomal RNA, 429 nt
Filed under: Pseudomonadota bacterium
Lineage: Bacteria; Pseudomonadati; Pseudomonadota
Description: Proteobacteria bacterium partial 16S ribosomal RNA
Rfam family: Bacterial small subunit ribosomal RNA
Source: RNAcentral